This is a long non-coding RNA of Orcinus orca (killer whale), 8009 nucleotides long. RefSeq lists it as uncharacterized. NCBI's taxonomy places the organism in Eukaryota, Metazoa, Chordata, Mammalia, Artiodactyla, Delphinidae. The record is from RefSeq and is a predicted model, not a curated record. The transcript is spliced from 4 exons.
GGGAAGGGGACAGCUGCCCCACAUUGGGUGCCAUAAAUCUGUUACCAACCAGGGUUCUUGGCCUCCUUAAUCAAUAGAUAUUGAUAAGAGGCUAGACAGGAAAUUCAGGCAAGGCCUUUCCCUUCCCAGGGAAGGGGGCGUGGGCAUGGGCAUGAGCUGGUUCCUUAUAUGGGGUGAGGGUAGGGGUGUGUCCAAGGACCAGCCUGGAGGGGUGGCUUAGGUGGUGUGCCCAGCCCUUUGGUGGUGCUGUGUGGAGGGGGCAUGCAUAGUACCUGCUUUUGCUCCCAGCUCUUCAGAAAUGAGAGUUGGGUUCUUCUGGCCUCUUUGUAUCCCGUUGCGCAUAACUUGCCCCAUCUGUGCAUGCAUGCAGUUGUUUUUAGUCCCUUGUAGUUUCUUUGUGUUCUGUUGCUCGAAGAGACAUUUGCCCAGGUGCAAGCACUGCAGCAAAGGGUCCCAGGUCCCAGCCUGUCUCAUGUUCAGUAUUUUUGUCCAGAUUUUCUAAUCGUCCUCAGUGUCAGGAGUGAUCAGGAUGACCUAGUCUGCCAUCACUGGAAUUGAAACCCCUCUGUUUCAUUUUUAACUAAAGACAUACUUGUUAAUCAGACCUAGUGAACACCCAUGGUAGCACAGUGCGUUAAUAUACAUCCAUUCUAUAGCCCCCAGAUCCCUACUGCUCCCUUUAUGGCAUGAGAAGCCCAGACUGCGUAUCUUGGUGUUGCAGCGUGCUGGAUUCUGGGUGUUUAGGGGUCAGCUAAGGUCUUACUCCCUGCCCUCAUGAAGCCUGCAGUCUGCCCUUUCCUUCCUAAAGUCUCCAACCUUUGUGAGCCAAUAUUCCCAUUUGAUUUUGUCUCUGUUCUCCUCGGCCCAUGCUACACUCAUGAUUUCAACUGUCCUUCCUCUGAGUAAACUCUUUCCCAGCCUUCGUACUGCUCGCGGGGCAGUAAAGGUCAGCCUGAGCCUGGAAUGCCGGUCUGGCCCUGUCCUUUUCUCAGCCUCAUGGCCCAUAAACCAUUCACUCUCAACUAUAGCCCAGUCUCUGAAUGCAUGUGUUUUGGCACAUACGAGUUUGUCCUCCUAGACUCGGCAUCACCUCCACUGGGAAGCCUUCCCUGAUUCUCCCAGGCUACAUCAGCCUGAACUAACACUCUGCUUCACCAGGUCUGUUUCCCCAGGAGGACAAGCAUUUUGAAGCCAGUGUCAAUGUCUUAUUCAUUUCAGCGUCUCUAACACUUGGCGUUUAAGAGGUGUCAAUUAAUGUGGAAGGAUCUCAUGGGAAAUCUCAUGGGAACUUGGGAAAAGUGCCACGCAUCCCCUAAUGCACUGUCUUUUCCACCAGUCGAAUGAACCUUUUUCCCUGGGAACCUCAGUCAAUUUCUACUCCUUAAUGGGAGGCAUGCCAGCUGCUUAUCCGCCUGCAUCCCCUCAGACACAUCGAGUUCACAGACCUUUGGGACACUGUGACAGUGGACUGCCACCUGCUGGUGAGAAGGUUUCUUGGACAGUGACAGGAAAGUUUCUAGGCCAGUGACAACUCAGGGCUACAGACAGAGGAGGGGUUCUUAAGGCAUUCCACAAACAAUAUAAACCCCUUCUCAGAAUAGUAUUUUCAAAUGCACAGUAUAAAGCACAUAGAUUACAAGUGAAACCAGUCAUAAUGAAAUAGAGGUAUCAAAAUAUUAGAAAAUAUAUAUACUAUGUGUGAUAUAUGUCAUAUGUAUUAUAUUUGUAUCUCAUUAAAUAACAAGAUCUAGUAGUAGGUCCAAUAACUACUAUAAUUAAAUGAUGAACGAAAAUGAUAAUUGAAGAUGUCUGCAACAGCUGUAACGUGAGAUGCAGUCUCUGUGAUUUCUACUGCUGACAUAGUCACAGGUACUGCUAAUAAUAUUAGAGUUUGUUGCCUAUACCCAUAAGGAAAGGAAAUGCUGUGUUUCAGUUAGAGGUUAGUGAAACUAAAGACCAAAUAUUUCCCAUCCAGGUACAAAGAUACCCUGAAUUCUACCCAUGGAUCCCUUGUGUGUGUUUGAGGGGGUGUCCAUGGACUCCAGGUUAAGAACCCCUGAAUGAGGUUUUAGAGGCAUGGCUGACUUUUUUGGGGGCUGCAUUGGGUCUUUGCUGUGCGCAGGCUUUCUCCAGUUGCGGUGAGCAGGGGCUGCUCUUCGUUGCGGUGCGCGGGAUUCUCAUUGCGGUGGCUACUCUUGUUGCGGAGCACAGGCCCUAGGCAUGCGGGCUUCAGUUGUUGUGGCACGUGGGCUCAGCAGUUGUGGCUCGUGGGCUCUAGAGCGCAGGCUCAGUAGUUGUGGCUCGUGGUCUAGAGUGCAGGCUCAGAAGUUGUGGCACACGGGCUUAGUUGCUCCGCGGCAUGUGGGAUCUUCCCGGACCAGGGCUCGAACCCGUGUCCCCUGCACUGGCAGGCGGAUUCUUAACCACUGUGCCACUAGGGAAGCCCAUGGCUGACACUUUUGAACAUGGCAGAGAUGCUGGUGGUUAAGUGUGUGUGACUCUUGCUAAAUGUCAUGGGUGCACUUGGCAGGAGAGGAGCUGUGGAGGAGACAGUGAAGUUCAAACUUUGAAGCCAUAGGCACUUUAUCAGCACUUACCAGUGCUCUGAGCUUUCGCCUGACUCUCCCCUUACCCAGCAUGUUUCCUUGUCUAUAAAACGAGAAUGACAAUGUCUUCCUCGUGGGUUGUUGAAAGGAUUCAAUAAGUUAACAUGUAAAAACUCCUGGGGUCAAAUGUUCACUGUUAAAUGAGAAUGAUAUAAAUGUCUGUAGAGAAAACACACACACAGCCAAGCGUAACUUCUUUCAGAACAGAAACCCCAAUGUCUGACCUGCUGUACAACCUGGGAGGCACCAGUGUACUCAGAAGAUAGGAAACCCUUUCUUGUUUAAGUCUGCCCUGCUCUUCCCACCCGAAUCCAAGAGAACAAAACCAAAUGCAAAGAGUUUCCAACCUUGUUAUUUUAUUAGAAGCAUAUUUACAUUCUCGCAGUUAACUCUGAAGAGAACAUUUUACAAAAGUUUUUUAUAUAAAGUUUGGAAACUACAUAAAAAUAACUUCUAUUCUUCAUAAAGAGGAAAAUAUAAGUUAGUUCUAUUUACUCUGCUAAAAAUUGACUGUAAAUGUGAAACAGUUCCGUCUGUCCCUUCCAGAGAAAACAUUAGCACAGAACACAAAGAAUACUGCAUGGGCCUUCUCAAUGCUGGGCAUUGCACGCUGGCUCAACUGUGAGACUGGGAGACCCAACCAGACCCCAUCCGGGAAGGACAGGGGAGGUGUUAAGGCUAAGGCAGCACUGAGCAGGAAGCAGCAGCUCCUUGAAUGAGAUUCCAAUGUGAACGACAAACCAAAGAAGGAAAUGAUCAAAGACUUUCACCUACACCAUGAAACCAGCAUUUCACCUAAUACUCAUUCUCACACCCCAGGCUACAAAAGGCAGUAUUGUAACUAAAGCACAAGUCAGCCCUGCCACUGGCCAUCACCUGACCAUUCGCCAAUGCUGGCCUCGUCUGGUGGAACUGGGUCUGUGUUCUGUAGUUACACAGUUAGUUCACGUUUUCCCAGCACCUGUGCACCAAAGAGAAUCAAAGGGCAUAAUUGUUUCACUUGUCUCAUUUGUGUGAGACCUGAAAAUUGUCCCUUCUGGGUCAAAUAGUGAAGCAGGCAAGCUGAGUGCUCACUAACCGAAGAGGACCAGUGCCUUCCCACGGCCCCCAGUGCUUCUUUACUGCAUAUGUAAGUCUUUGGAACCCCAAGUCCCUUUUCCUAUUGAAUGGUUACCCUACUUUCCCAAGAUCCAUUUACAACCAGUCCCCAGAAAACUCCAGGGAAUUGCUUCAGAAAGACAAAGCACUGAACCCUUACCUAUAGGAGUGAAGAAAGAGGAAGUCCUCCCAGGGUGUGUCAACCACCCCAUCACCACCAAAAUAGUACCCAGACUCAGUACACCCAUUUGAUUCCUCAGAAUCACCUUCAGUUUUCCGCUUUUUUUAAAGCAGGCAUUUUCCUAAGGAAGCCAUUUAUUUAUAUUUUUUUCAAGUUAGACAUAAAGGUGAAAAAAAGUUUUCUUUGUAAAUAAACCGAACGCUGGGUUGAGCAUUUGCUUUUAUUGGGUUAUCUACGCUCUGCAGCCUGUGGGGCUCAGAAUCUGUGGGAGGCCAGCUGAGUCAUCCAAAGGCCCAGCAUUCCAUCUGAGAUACAGAAGCUUGGCUUUUGCCAGGUUCCUGGGGGCGGGAAGCACUGCAUUUCUCCCUGAUGCUUUUUCUCCCUGAACAGAAGUUCCAUUGACUGCCAGCCUCUGCCUGAAGUGUGAGGCUGGACUCUGAACUAGGAGGGACACAGAGCAGAGGGAAGCAGCCUUCCCGUAUCACCUGCAGACGGGGUGGGCAAGUGUGAGACAGAAUGACUGGGGUGGGAAAGUCUUGUGCGGCGAGGAAUUUAUCCCUGAACAUAGGAUCCCGUGCAGGCUGAUGGUUCAGCCUGUGCCUCUGGUGCCAACCCCCAGCACGCCCACACCAACGGCUCCCCUCACGUGUUCAGUGGCACAGGCCCAGGCAGCGAACAUGUUCCAAUCCACCUGGCACAAGAGGCCCAGGGGGCCAAGGGUGUGUGUGUGCGCGCACGUGCGUGCAUGCAUGUAUGUGCAGGAAGGGAGAGUACAAGAUGGCACGAAACACUUGAGAUCAGGGUGAAGCGUUCAGCCUCUCCCCAUCCCACCACUGCAGAUGCUGUCUCAAGAAGAAAGCAGAUUGGGGGAACUGGAGGAAGGAGGGCACCCCCUGAGCAGCUGGCUGCAGACGAGGCUCCACUGGGAACCAGAAUGGCUGUUAGAAGGCAUGGUUCUUGGUCUGACACUGCAGGGAAUGGCUGAAAAGCCACCGGCAAUUACAAUAGGACACGCCCACGGUGACUUCAGCAGUAGCACUUUGUGCCCACAGACAGCAAAGCUGGUGUUUUGGCAAACAGGAGGGGCCUCGAGGCCACAGAACACCUAUUCCUCCUGGUCCCUGGCCCCCCCAAAAGCCCAAGUCGCUGACAGCUCAAAGGAACCUGGGGCUCAAAUGGAAUGCACGUUAGUAUCAGGCAGCACAUCAUAAAACCUCGCCCUCCACGACCAGCGAGAAGUCAGAAACGCCGGGUGGGUCUGUCAGGCACAGCUGGGGUGGCACAAGGCAAGGGGCUGGAUUCGAGCCGGCAUGGAAGCAAGAGGGAAGGGGCUCCUGAGUUACUUGUUCACAGAGAAUGGGAGGGCCCCGAGGCCCACCGGCCUGCCAGCCACAGCCCUGGGUGGCCGUUACGAAGCAUCCGCAGAGCUGUAGGGGAAGAACUUGGUGGCCUUGUUUGGGGUGGUGGGGCUCAGGCACUCUGCCUCCUCGUUCAUUUUGAAGAACAUCUCCUGCUCUCGUUUCUUCUGGUUCAGCUCUUCUUCCAGAGCCUAGGACAGAGGGCAGACGGAGCUCGUUUGGAUCCCUUAGGACACAAGUCUUCCCCAACCACAGGACCCCCACCAAAGUGGCCUUCUCUGGAACUUCCCCUCCCAGGCCUCAGUGCUCGGGUAACUUGGUCUUCCCUCUCUCCUGUCCCAGCGCCCAUCACCCAGAAGGAUGCAGAUCACCACCUCCGGGCCAGUGUUCCAGCAGCAACCCAGGUGACUAAGGAUGGGAUGAUUCUACAAAGAAUUCUGGAAAGAGGCAGCCCGCACCAGCAAAAUCCAACGGCUCUCCAGAUACACCCUGCGGCACCUCCCCUAAGCCCAGGCACCCCCAAGAAGCAAUCUGGGCAGUUGCUAGAGGCAAGAUGAUGAUUCAUUUUCAGCCUCUCAGGAUGUGCCAAGGGUAUAGAAGCCCUAGGUAAGAGAACCAGGUGAGCAUCUAUUUCCUGAUGCCAAAUCCGCCUGUGUCAGCAGGAGUGUAAUUGAUUUGAGUGUCAAGUAUCAAAAGUCCUAGCGGACCAUGCGUGGUUACAGAUAAGCGUGGGCCUAUUAACAGGAAGGUCUGGGACCCUGGCCAGCUUCCAGCUAGAAAGCUCCAUUAGCACAGGGAGGGAAGCCUCUAUUCAAGGACUCCCAAGGCCGUUAUAUGGCUGAGGUGGGCAACUGCCUCCUGGGCAGAUCACAGUUACAGCAAGUAGAGCUCAAGUACGACGGCAGAACAAACCUCAGGGCUCAGGACACAUGAUCAAGGGUAAUUAGGGCAGCUCUCUCCUCAGAGUUUAGGAGAGUGGGAGGACAUGAGUACGUCCUUGGCCUAUACUGUGGGCUGGUGGCUUUCUGCAUAACACUAUACAAUAUUCAUUAUCUUCACUUUACAAAUGACCACACUGAGGCCCUGUGAUGGUCAAUUUAUUUGUCAACCUGGCAAAGCCAUGGUAACCAGUUGUUUGGUCAAACACUAGUCUAGAUGUCACUGUGAAGGAAUUUUUUUAUAUGUGAUUAACAUGUAACUCAGUAGACUGAAUAAAGCAGCUUACCCUCCAAAAUGUGGUUGGGCCUCACUCAAUCAGUUGCAGGCCUUAAGAGAAAAGACUGAGGUCCCGCUAAAGAAAGAGGGAUUGGGCCUCCAUACUGCCCUGGGGCUCAGCGCUGCAACAUCAACUCUUCCCUGGCUCUCCAGCCUGCAGUCUGCCCUGCAGAUUUCAGGCUUAACAGUCCCAACAACUGGGUGAGCCAGUUCCUUCAAAUAAAUCCAUAAAUCUGUACCUUAUCCAUAUCUGUAUCUAUAUCCAUACCCCAGGCAGAACCGAUGGCACAACACGAAGCAGAGCCCACCACUGAGCCCACCAGCCCAGCCAGGGUUACCUUUUUGCGUGGCCGAAGCUUGUCCCGCCAUUCCUUUAGGUUCUGGUUAUGGCUUUCGUCCAGGGCCUUCAGCUUCUGGGUUUCAUGCUCUACCAGGAGGUGACACUUUUCAUUCUGCAACAUAUUCCAGGAAGUACAGGUAAGAAGCACAGAGGGCUGAGAUAUACCAUGAAGGUACCAGCAUCAUUCAUUUAUUACUUCUCCUUGAUUAUAAACUCCAUGUAUACAAAACGCUCUACCUGUAAAGACACAUGCACCAAAAGGUGCCUGGAAGACUAUUCCAGAAUAUUAACAUUAAUAAUUCUCACUGAGUAGUGGAAUCUGCAGCAAUUUUGCAACUUUCUACUUCGGGCUUUCUGCAUUGUUUGAAUUUUUCAACAUGAACGUAUAAAACUAAUAACAAUAAUCUCUGCCCUAAUCCCACCACACAGAGGCAACCACCACAGAAUUUUAGAUAUAUUUCCUGUCAGGCUCUGUCCUGUGCAUUCUUUAGCUCACCCUGUAUACACAAUUCUGAAACCUGCCUCCCUCUCCUCUUAACAUUAUAAUGUAAACAUUUCUACAUGUAUACAAAGAACUAACAUCUUUUACAAUCAUCAUUUUAAUUCCUACAAAAUAUCCCACAGUAUGGUUUAUCUAAUUUAUUUAAACAUUUCCCUAUUUUUGGCCACUUAGGUUGCUCUUAAUCUUCACUACUAUAAAUAGCAUUGUAUUAAACAUCUGUGCUAUGUACUGAAUUGUGUCUCCCCAAAAUUCAUAUGUUGAAGCCCUAAUGCCCAAUGUGAUGGUAUUUGGAGAUAUGGGGCCUUUAGGAGAUAAAUAGGUUUAGAUGAGGUCAAGAGGGUAGGGCCCUCAUGGCGGGAUUAGUGCCCUUAUAAGAAGAGACCAGAGAGCUCACAUGCUAGACUGCUCCCUCCCUGUCUCCUUCCCUCCUUUUCUCCCUCUCCCCAUCUCCCUCUCUCCCCCUCUCCUCUUCUCUCCUCUCUCUCUCCGCCAUGUGAGGACACAGCAAGAAGGCAUCCAUCCGCAAGCCAGAGAGAGAGACUUCACCAGAACCCAGCCAUGCUGGCAAAGCUGAUCUUGGAUUUCCAGGCUCCAAAACUGAGAGACUUGUGACGGGGUAAGGGCCAUGGACCUGGCUGAGGCCUGCCAGCCUCACUGUUCUCUCGCUGAGGUAAGUUACCUGCCUCACAAAACUUAGCCUGGAAUCUCU